This 1462-nucleotide ribosomal RNA is filed under the name metagenome. Its description in RNAcentral is "bacterial SSU rRNA". It matches the Rfam family "Bacterial small subunit ribosomal RNA". The record is from RNAcentral.
AGAGUUUGAUCCUGGCUCAGGAUGAACGCUGGCGGCGUGCCUAACACAUGCAAGUCGAGCGAUUUACUUCGGUAAAGAGCGGCGGACGGGUGAGUAACGCGUGGGUAACCUGCCCUGUACACACGGAUAACAUACCGAAAGGUAUGCUAAUACGAGAUAAUAUGCUUUUAUCGCAUGGUAGAAGUAUCAAAGCUUUUGCGGUACAGGAUGGACCCGCGUCUGAUUAGCUAGUUGGUAAGGUAACGGCUUACCAAGGCGACGAUCAGUAGCCGACCUGAGAGGGUGAUCGGCCACAUUGGAACUGAGACACGGUCCAAACUCCUACGGGAGGCAGCAGUGGGGAAUAUUGCACAAUGGGCGAAAGCCUGAUGCAGCAACGCCGCGUGAGCGAUGAAGGCCUUCGGGUCGUAAAGCUCUGUCCUCAAGGAAGAUAAUGACGGUACUUGAGGAGGAAGCCCCGGCUAACUACGUGCCAGCAGCCGCGGUAAUACGUAGGGGGGCUAGCGUUAUCCGGAAUUACUGGGCGUAAAGGGUGCGUAGGUGGUUUCUUAAGUCAGAGGUGAAAGGCUACGGCUCAACCGUAGUAAGCCUUUGAAACUGGGAAACUUGAGUGCAGGAGAGGAGAGUGGAAUUCCUAGUGUAGCGGUGAAAUGCGUAGAUAUUAGGAGGAACACCAGUUGCGAAGGCGGCUCUCUGGACUGUAACUGACACUGAGGCACGAAAGCGUGGGGAGCAAACAGGAUUAGAUACCCUGGUAGUCCACGCCGUAAACGAUGAGUACUAGCUGUCGGAGGUUACCCCCUUCGGUGGCGCAGUUAACGCAUUAAGUACUCCGCCUGGGAAGUACGCUCGCAAGAGUGAAACUCAAAGGAAUUGACGGGGACCCGCGCAAGUAGCGGAGCAUGUGGUUUAAUUCGAAGCAACGCGAAGAACCUUACCUAAGCUUGACAUCCUUUUGACCGAUGCCUAAUCGCAUCUUUCUCUUCGGGGACAGAAGUGACAGGUGGUGCAUGGUUGUCGUCAGCUCGUGUCGUGAGAUGUUGGGUUAAGUCCCGCAACGAGCGCAACCCUUGCCUUUAGUUGCCAGCAUUAAGUUGGGCACUCUAGAGGGACUGCCAGGGAUAACCUGGAGGAAGGUGGGGAUGACGUCAAAUCAUCAUGCCCCUUAUGCUUAGGGCUACACACGUGCUACAAUGGGUGGUACAGAGGGCAGCCAAGUCGUGAGGCGGAGCUAAUCCCUUAAAGCCAUUCUCAGUUCGGAUUGUAGGCUGAAACUCGCCUACAUGAAGCUGGAGUUACUAGUAAUCGCAGAUCAGAAUGCUGCGGUGAAUGCGUUCCCGGGUCUUGUACACACCGCCCGUCACACCACGGGAGUUGGGGGCGCCCGAAGCCGGAUUGCUAACCUUUUGGAAGCGUCCGUCGAAGGUGAAAUCAAUAACUGGGGUGAAGUCGUAACAAGGUA